This 325-nucleotide ribosomal RNA is filed under the name uncultured eukaryote. Its description in RNAcentral is "partial 18S ribosomal RNA". It matches the Rfam family "Eukaryotic small subunit ribosomal RNA", at positions 1470 to 1796 of the family's 1831-position model. The record is from RNAcentral.
CCCUUAGAUGUUCUGGGCUGCACGCGCGCUACACUGAUGCGCUCAACGAGUUUUGACCUUGCCCGGCAGGGUUGGGUAAUCUUUUUAAAACGCAUCGUGAUGGGGAUAGAUUAUUGCAAUUAUUAAUCUUCAACGAGGAAUUCCUAGUAAGCGCGAGUCAUCAGCUCGUGCUGAUUACGCCCCUGCCCUUUGUACACACCGCCCGUCGCUCCUACCGAUUGAGUGAUCCGGUGAGUAAUUCGGACUGGAGCAGUGUUCAGUUCCUGAACGUUGCCUCGGAAAGUUUAGCAAACCUUAUCGCUUAGAGGAAGGAGAAGUCGUAACA